Long non-coding RNA from Onychostoma macrolepis, 375 nucleotides. RefSeq lists it as uncharacterized. The record is from RefSeq and is a predicted model, not a curated record. Lineage: Eukaryota; Metazoa; Chordata; Actinopteri; Cypriniformes; Cyprinidae. The transcript has 3 exons.
UUCAAGAUGAUCUGGGGUGAAAUGUCUGCUGCAGACCUUUGUGUGAAAACUUAAUGUCCUAUUAAAUUUCAAAGAAGCUGUAUACACAGUAGAGUUCAGGAUAUUUUUAGUCAUGUCUUUGAAAAUGUCAGGAUGUAAAAAUCUUCUUGCAGACACUAAUUUUAUGUUGUGUCUUGGGGAAUAAGAAUUAUUCUCAGCUCAGGGCACCACCAGAGAUUCUCUUAAUAAAGGAGGAGAUGCCAACUUGGACAUAUCUAUCACUGCAGAAAGCAAUGAUCAACAUGGAUAAUAUGCUGCAUAGUGUGUGUCAGAAAUGUAACACCCCUUACCAUAAUCAGGUUUCAAAUCCGCAGUCUUCAUGAGCAGCUGUAAACA